GAUGAAGAACGUAGCGAAAUGCGAUAAGUAAUGUGAAUUGCAGAAUUCAGUGAAUCAUCGAAUCUUUGAACGCACAUUGCGCCCGUCAGUAUUCUGGCGGGCAUGCCUGUUCGAGCGUCAUUACGCCCCUCAAGUCCCCUGUGGACUUGGUGUUGGGGAUCGGCGAGGCUGGUUUUCCAGCACAGCCGUCCCUUAAAUUAAUUGGCGGUCUCGCCGUGGCCCUCCUCUGCGCAGUAGUAAAACACUCGCAACAGGAGCCCGGCGCGGUCCACUGCCGUAAAACCCCCCAACUUUUUAUAGUUGACCUCGAAUCAGGUAGGACUACCCGCUGAGCUUAAGCAUAUCAAUAAGCGGAGGA
Molecule: unclassified non-coding RNA, 358 nt
Filed under: soil metagenome
Description: partial contains 5.8S ribosomal RNA, internal transcribed spacer 2, and large subunit ribosomal RNA
Rfam family: 5.8S ribosomal RNA (bases 1-120)
Source: RNAcentral